This 926-nucleotide ribosomal RNA is filed under the name Escherichia coli. Its description in RNAcentral is "partial 23S ribosomal RNA". It matches the Rfam family "Bacterial large subunit ribosomal RNA", at positions 1920 to 2840 of the family's 2925-position model. The record is from RNAcentral. Lineage: Bacteria; Pseudomonadati; Pseudomonadota; Gammaproteobacteria; Enterobacterales; Enterobacteriaceae.
CCGGUAAACGGCGGCCGUAACUAUAACGGUCCUAAGGUAGCGAAAUUCCUUGUCGGGUAAGUUCCGACCUGCACGAAUGGCGUAAUGAUGGCCAGGCUGUCUCCACCCGAGACUCAGUGAAAUUGAACUCGCUGUGAAGAUGCAGUGUACCCGCGGCAAGACGGAAAGACCCCGUGAACCUUUACUAUAGCUUGACACUGAACAUUGAGCCUUGAUGUGUAGGAUAGGUGGGAGGCUUUGAAGUGUGGACGCCAGUCUGCAUGGAGCCGACCUUGAAAUACCACCCUUUAAUGUUUGAUGUUCUAACGUUGGCCCCUAAUCGGGGUUGCGGACAGUGUCUGGUGGGUAGUUUGACUGGGGCGGUCUCCUCCUAAAGAGUAACGGAGGAGCACGAAGGUUGGCUAAUCCUGGUCGGACAUCAGGAGGUUAGUGCAAUGGCAUAAGCCAGCUUGACUGCGAGCGUGACGGCGCGAGCAGGUGCGAAAGCAGGUCAUAGUGAUCCGGUGGUUCUGAAUGGAAGGGCCAUCGCUCAACGGAUAAAAGGUACUCCGGGGAUAACAGGCUGAUACCGCCCAAGAGUUCAUAUCGACGGCGGUGUUUGGCACCUCGAUGUCGGCUCAUCACAUCCUGGGGCUGAAGUAGGUCCCAAGGGUAUGGCUGUUCGCCAUUUAAAGUGGUACGCGAGCUGGGUUUAGAACGUCGUGAGACAGUUCGGUCCCUAUCUGCCGUGGGCGCUGGAGAACUGAGGGGGGCUGCUCCUAGUACGAGAGGACCGGAGUGGACGCAUCACUGGUGUUCGGGUUGUCAUGCCAAUGGCACUGCCCGGUAGCUAAAUGCGGAAGAGAUAAGUGCUGAAAGCAUCUAAGCACGAAACUUGCCCCGAGAUGAGUUCUCCCUGACUCCCUGAGAGUCCUGAAGGAACGUUG